CAGUCGCCACGGUAACACGUAGGGUGCGAGCGUUAAUCGGAAUUACUGGGCGUAAAGCGUGCGCAGGCGGUUAUAUAAGACAGAUGUGAAAUCCCCGGGCUCAACCUGGGAAUGGCAAUGGAUACUGGCAAGCUAGAGUGUGUCAGAGGAUGGUGGAAUUCCCGGUGUAGCAGUGAAAUGCGUAGAUAUGCGGAGGAACACCGAUGGCGAAGGCAGCCCCCUGGGCCAACACUGACGCUCAUGCACGAAAGCGUGGGGAGCAAACAGGAUUAGAUACCCCUGUAGUCCCUGUCUCUUAUAC
This 301-nucleotide ribosomal RNA is filed under the name uncultured bacterium. RNAcentral describes it as "partial 16S ribosomal RNA". It matches the Rfam family "Bacterial small subunit ribosomal RNA", at positions 509 to 807 of the family's 1533-position model. The record is from RNAcentral.